CUAAUCCCCGUCUCAGGAACCUC
This 23-nucleotide non-coding RNA is filed under the name Rattus norvegicus (Norway rat). The record is from RNAcentral. Lineage: Eukaryota; Metazoa; Chordata; Mammalia; Rodentia; Muridae.